CUAAUGUUUGCAUAGGAUGAAAACCUGGUCAUAUUAAUUUUUCUGAGAAAAUAAUCUCAAAUGAAAAAUCACUUCCCUAAAGCAUUAUUUGUUUUUAUAUCAGAUUUAUUUCAGUUCAACCAACAUUGCACGCUCUAAGUAUUAGAUAUUGUGAUUGGUCCUGGGAAUGCUAAGAUAAAAAUUUCUCCUUUUCUAACCUUGAAUUCACAGAGAGGUAGAAGCAAGAGAAGCAUAAACAUAUAAUUUCAAUGCAAUAUGGUCACAAAGCCUACUGCCUGCUAAUCAGCAAGUGGACCUGUUUCUCUAACAAUGGCCCGAAACUUCACAACAUCAAAGGAGAAAUCAUUGCCAGCAAAAGCAUUUCCGGGUAGUAGGAAAGAAUACAAGUGAAUAACAUUAGUCCAGAAGUUUUAAUAAUAUUCUUUGCUGGUUGAAAUUCAUGUUUAAUAUGAUGUAAAUUACUUGAUAAGCAAAUUAAGAACUAUGCUACUACAGACUCCAAAUAAGACGCAAGAAAAAUGAGAGGAAAUACAUUAAAGGAAAAUCUUAAAAAAACAGCUGCACAGAAGAUAAAUUAUUUUUCCAGGAGUUUUAAACAUAGUUGCUUUUGUUUGUUUGCUUUGCUGUUUUUUCUUAAUAAUUGUUUUAGUAAGCUCAGGCUGCUAUAUAAAAAUAAGAUAGGCGCUGGUCUGAACAAUAGACAUUUAUUUCUUAUAGUUCUUGAACCUGGCAAGUCUGAGGAGGGUCAUCUUCUGGGCUUUCAAAGGGCUGCCUUUUUCCUAUGUACGUACAUAGUGAAUAGAAAGCGUUAGCUCUCUGGUCUCUUCCUGUAAGAGCACUAAUCCCAUCAUGAAGACCCCAUCCUUAUGGGCUCAUCUAAACCUAAUUACUUCCAAAGGUCCCACCUCCAAAUGCUAACACAUUGAGAGUUAAGGCUUCAAUAUAUUAAUUUUGGGGAAACAAGACACAGUCCAUAUCAAAUAUAUAUAUAUAUAAUAUAUAUGUAUAAUAUAUAUGUAUACUAUAUAUGUAUAUAAUAUGUAUGUAUAAUAUAUAUACAAAUAUAUAUAAUAUAUAUUACAUAUACCCAAAUAUAUAUAUUAUAUAUAUUUGUAUAUAUAUUAUAUAUAUUUGUAUAUAUAUUAUAUAUAUUUGUAUAUAUAUUAUGUAUGUUAUGUAAUACAACUAUAUACACUCUAAAAAGGCAGUGGAAUAUAGACAUACUUCAAUUGAUUGUGCUUUGCUUCACUUGGCUUCACAGAUAAUGUGUUUUACACAAAUUGAAGGUUUAUGACCACCCUGCAUCAAGCAACUUUAUUGGCACCACUUUGUAAUAGCAUGUGUUCAUUUGUAUCUCUGUGCCAUAUCUAGGUAAAUCUCACAAUAUUUCAAACUUUUUAACUAUAAUUAUAUUUGAUAUGAUAAUCUGUAACCAGUGACCUUUGGUGUUACUAUUGUAAUUGUUUUGGGCACCAUGAACCACAUCCAUAUAAGACAAUGAAUUUAAUCAAUAAAUGUGUGUGUUCUGACUGCUCCACCAACUUAGACAAUUAGUUUUAGAUUUUUUUUUUUUUUUUUUUUUUUUUUUUUUUUGAGACGGAGUCUCGCUCUGUCGCCCAGGCCGGACUGCG
Molecule: long non-coding RNA, 1631 nt
Filed under: Homo sapiens (human)
Lineage: Eukaryota; Metazoa; Chordata; Mammalia; Primates; Hominidae
Description: HSALNT0352506
Source: RNAcentral